RNAcentral lists this ribosomal RNA (429 nucleotides) under Chloroflexota bacterium. Its description in RNAcentral is "Chloroflexi bacterium partial 16S ribosomal RNA". It matches the Rfam family "Bacterial small subunit ribosomal RNA", at positions 355 to 776 of the family's 1533-position model. Lineage: Bacteria; Bacillati; Chloroflexota. The record is from RNAcentral.
UGGGGAAUAUUGCACAAUGGGCGCAAGCCUGAUGCAGCCAUGCCGCGUGUGUGAAGAAGGCCUUCGGGUUGUAAAGCACUUUCAGCGGGGAGGAAGGCGAUAAGGUUAAUAACCUUGUCGAUUGACGUUACCCGCAGAAGAAGCACCGGCUAACUCCGUGCCAGCAGCCGCGGUAAUACGGAGGGUGCAAGCGUUAAUCGGAAUUACUGGGCGUAAAGCGCACGCAGGCGGUCUGUCAAGUCGGAUGUGAAAUCCCCGGGCUUAACCUGGGAACUGCAUUCGAAACUGGCAGGCUAGAGUCUUGUAGAGGGGGGUAGAAUUCCAGGUGUAGCGGUGAAAUGCGUAGAGAUUUGGAGGAAUACCGGUGGCGAAGGCGGCCCCCUGGACAAAGACUGACGCUCAGGUGCGAAAGCGUGGGGAGCAAACAGG